Molecule: ribosomal RNA, 253 nt
Filed under: uncultured bacterium
Lineage: Bacteria
Description: partial 16S ribosomal RNA
Rfam family: Bacterial small subunit ribosomal RNA
Source: RNAcentral
AACGUAGGUGGCAAGCGUUAUCCGGAUUUAUUGGGCGUAAAGAGAACGCAGGCGGUCUUUUAAGUCUGAUGUGAAAGCCUUCGGCUUAACCGGAGUAGUGCAUUGGAAACUGGGAGACUUGAGUGCAGAAGAGGAGAGUGGAACUCCAUGUGUAGCGGUGAAAUGCGUAGAUAUAUGGAAGAACACCAGUGGCGAAAGCGGCUCUCUGGUCUGUAACUGACGCUGAGGUUCGAAAGCGUGGGUAGCAAACAGG